Molecule: long non-coding RNA, 1378 nt
Filed under: Equus asinus (donkey)
Lineage: Eukaryota; Metazoa; Chordata; Mammalia; Perissodactyla; Equidae
Description: lncRNA (ENSEASG00005023746.1)
Source: RNAcentral
GUCAUUAAGUUGUAAAUGUAUAUGGUAAUUCCCCAACUUCUCAGAAACAAUACAAUGAAUUAUUUAAAUAAUUAAGACAUUUAACAUUAUCCACAUCAAUACAUUUCAACAGGGACAAGCGUUCUACAAAACAUUAGAACACGUACAGACGACCUAUUUCAAGACGAAACUGCCCAAUUUUGCUUUAAGAAUCCCAUUUUUAAGCCCUCCCCUUGAAACCAAAGAUGAGAAUCUGAUAAGAAAAGAUGAGGACCAGAGCAGUUUUAACAGAAGAAAGUACACAUCCCCUCUGGGCUCCGUAUCCACAGGGUUAUGCGUGUAAUUAGGAUCACGAGCACUGUACUCAGAACGCAGGCCACUCGGGAAGGCCCAGAGGUGGACUGACACCCCACCUUCUUUCUCAGCAGGAGGAGAUUGGCAAAUGAAUAGGAGAUGUGGGCCAUGGUACGUGUACUCCACUGGUCUCCGCAGGGCACAGCUAGUCCUAGAAGUUUCCCUUCUGUUGAAAAGGCAGCUGUCUUCCUAGGGCAGACAGACAGGAUUCGGUUACAGGUGCAGAGUCACGGCUCUUCCUCCCCGGCACCACAGUGCCCUCUUCCCAGUUGUGAGCCUGGCAUCAGCCAGGUAGCGGGGCAGGAGGAUCAACAAUUCCAAGAACAGCUGCAUCAGGAGGACCACCAGAGAGGUACACCCUCCCUCAGUCUGGGAUGCUUUCAGAUGCUUGCCAGCAGCUUCUCUGUGCAAAACAAGCAGAUGGCAGCCAAAGCAAGGACUGCUUCUGCCCAUUUCUAAAUGACUGCCACUGCCAUCUGCAAACGAAGCUACUUCAGGGGCACUGGUAUGGACGUCAGAUGUCCAGGGGUCCAACAGGCUGACUCUUCAUUUGACAAAAUGGAUACUAAGGUUCUUUAAAGGAAGCUUUAGAGAACACAGUGACUGUCAUUCAAAUGCCAAAGGGACCCAAAAGACAAGAAGAAAGACUAGUAUCUGUCCUGAGAUGCUGUGCUGUCUUCCUAGCUUCUCCUGAAUCCUCUCACUGCAUCUGGACAGCUACAGGCCUUGGCAAACAAACACGGAUGAAAUGCUGUUUUGGAGGCAACCUGAAGCCUGGAGUCAACCGACACUGUGUUCUGUCUUGUAAAACAGCUGGUCAACCAAUCAAUUCCUGUGUGUGCAUUUCAGGGAGGGAAUUUAUCUACAAAUUCGGAAGUAUUUUGGAUAAACAAAAUUAUCCAAGGCCUGUUAACUGCUACAUCCAUGCAUAUCCAUCGAGGGGAAGUCUAACACUCAGCAUUUGCUCCUUAGCAAAAAGGGAAUCACAAACCCUGAAACCUAGUUAAUAUCAUUAGCUCACUGCCAUCCAUGAUUUUGACACAGC